Molecule: long non-coding RNA, 394 nt
Filed under: Carica papaya (papaya)
Lineage: Eukaryota; Viridiplantae; Streptophyta; Magnoliopsida; Brassicales; Caricaceae
Description: long non-coding RNA (CPAP_LNC012843)
Source: RNAcentral
GAGGUUAUUUAUACCCAUCCACUUUUGAUCUGGGCCAUCCAUCGCUUUUAAUCUGGACCGUCCGAUUGCGAUUAAAUGGAGAGUGAAUCUGAGCCGUUCAUUAUGAUUUAAUCUGGGCCAUCCGUUUGCGAUUCAAUCUGCGCCGUCCGUGCGCGAUGCAAUUUGGGCCGUCCGUGCACAUUUUUGAUCUGGGCUGUCCGUGCAUGCGGAAACAGAUCUCAGCUGUUCGAUCGCAUGCAUGCAGAUCACCCAAGUGGCUCCCCUCGUGUGGCCUCCCGCGUCAGCGCCUCUGCCACCUGGCGCGUUCUGGUUGGUCGAGACUGCUGACCAGACAGCUGACGUGGCGUAAUUUUUUUAAAUUACGUUUUGACCCCUGAUUUUUAAUUUUUCUUUC